RNAcentral lists this ribosomal RNA (253 nucleotides) under uncultured bacterium. RNAcentral describes it as "partial 16S ribosomal RNA". It matches the Rfam family "Bacterial small subunit ribosomal RNA", at positions 524 to 776 of the family's 1533-position model. The record is from RNAcentral.
UACGUAGGGGGCAAGCGUUAUCCGGAUUUACUGGGCGUAAAGAGCGCGUAGGCGGUUCCGCAAGUUGGUUGUGAAAGUUCGAGGCUCAACCUCGAAACUGCGUCCAAAACUGCGGAGCUCGAGUGCAAGAGAGGCAAGUGGAAUUCCCGGUGUAGUAGUGAAAUGCGUAGAUAUCGGGAGGAACACCAGUGGCGAAGGCGGCUUGCUAGCUUGCAACUGACGCUGAGGCGCGAAAGCUAGGGGAGCGAACGGG